GAUGAAGAACGCAGCGAAAUGCGAUACGUAAUGUGAAUUGCAGAAUUCAGUGAAUCAUCGAGUCUUUGAACGCACAUUGCGCCCCCUGGUAUUCCGGGGGGCAUGCCUGUCCGAGCGUCAUUGCUGCCCUCAAGCCCGGCUUGUGUGUUGGGUCUCGUCCCCCUUCCCGGGGGGACGGGCCCGAAAGGCAGCGGCGGCACCGUGUCCGGUCCUCGAGCGUAUGAGGCUUUGUCACCCGCUCUGUAGGCCCGGCCGGCGCUUGCCGAUCAACCAAAACUUUUUUCCAGGUUGACCUCGGAUCAGGUAGGGAUACCCGCUGAACUUAAGCAUAUCAAUAAGCGGAGGA
RNAcentral lists this unclassified non-coding RNA (346 nucleotides) under soil metagenome. Its description in RNAcentral is "partial contains 5.8S ribosomal RNA, internal transcribed spacer 2, and large subunit ribosomal RNA". The stretch from base 1 to 120 matches the Rfam family "5.8S ribosomal RNA", at positions 35 to 154 of the family's 154-position model. The record is from RNAcentral.